UAUUUAAAUAGUUUAUUUUAAAAUUUUGACUUGUGGCGUCAAAGAUGUACUAUCUGUACUUUAAAUAA
RNAcentral lists this transfer RNA (68 nucleotides) under Heterotarsus carinula. Its description in RNAcentral is "tRNA-His". Lineage: Eukaryota; Metazoa; Arthropoda; Insecta; Coleoptera; Tenebrionidae. The record is from RNAcentral.